CAUCUCUUUCUCUUUUUCUUCU
RNAcentral lists this small nuclear RNA (22 nucleotides) under Arabidopsis thaliana (thale cress). RNAcentral describes it as "snRNA_14319". The record is from RNAcentral. Lineage: Eukaryota; Viridiplantae; Streptophyta; Magnoliopsida; Brassicales; Brassicaceae.